Plutella xylostella (diamondback moth) is the source of this 600-nucleotide non-coding RNA. The record is from RefSeq and is a predicted model, not a curated record. Lineage: Eukaryota; Metazoa; Arthropoda; Insecta; Lepidoptera; Plutellidae.
AUGCAGUCGUCACUCACAGGCUAGAUGUCUGGUAUAUAACCGUAUGUAAUUUUCUUUUAUAUUUUGGUAAUAGAAUGGUAAAGUCGUGCUGUUUUGUGUGUUGGUGACUUGUAUAAUGAAAUUUAUUUACCUGAUUUUGUUGCUGAUGCUGGCAUGUGUGUGGCCAGCAUGUACCACCAUACGACAUGCCGGUCCACUGGCCUACGCAGCCUUAAGAGGGCAUCCUACCUUCAACCGCUUCUGGCCUAGUCUGUCCAGAAGGAUAGCCCAACAGUCACCGUUAAAUGAUACUGUAGAUUCUACUAGAGAUAGGUCUUCUAUAGAUGAUAGCUCUACUAGAUAUGUUAACAGCAAUUUUAAUUCUACCACUACAGAUGUGAAUUCUACUAGAGAUUUUGAUUCUACUGGAUAUGUUAUUUCUAAUGGAGAUAGAUUCACUUAAAAAUAGUAAUGAAAUCGCAAUUUCAAUGCACUUUGAUAAGGUUUUUGCACGCAUAUUAAUAUGUGAUACUUACUGCUUGUAGGUGUAGGGAAUAUGUCAUGAUGAAAGUAGAAGGUAGUGAAAAGUGAUAAUACAAGUUUCAGACAAGAGUUAAAUUA